Molecule: long non-coding RNA, 802 nt
Organism: Macrobrachium nipponense
Lineage: Eukaryota; Metazoa; Arthropoda; Malacostraca; Decapoda; Palaemonidae
Exons: 3
Source: RefSeq, a predicted model, not a curated record
CUACUAAUAGGACUCUAUCAGCGCCCCUCUUCAACUUACCAAGUACUAUUAUACAGCAAUCCGAAGUUCUGAACAGCAAAUCUGCGUAGUUUGGAACUUUGCUAGGUCGCAACCAAGUUCACCCUGCCUAAUUCAGUUGGCUAACGUAUCGAACACCAUUUAUGGGAAGACAUUUUAUCAUCAUCGUGUCACGAUAAUCAGCUCAUUUCUAGCUCAAGGAAUUAGUAGCUAUAAGAUAAAACGUAGUAGGUGUAGUUGGACUGACUGAAGAGGCAUUUCAAUCAUGGGAAAAAUUAAGAGGAUUCGACAGAAAUACCACGCCACUCUCAAGAAGGAAAAUGGCAAGGAAUCACAGCCUACCAUUCAAGCUUCAAGUGAGCAACAGCUGAAGCCUGUGAUUGAAACGACAGAUGCUGUGUCUUCACAAAGUGAUAAUUUGUUUUCUGGGAUAAGAUUAGAUUGGAAGAUAUCAAGAACUCAUCAGAAACUCUGGCACAUGACGAUUUUGAUAAAUGAGUAUUUCGUCAGCCUUAGUAGGGAAGCAACAUGAAGGCGUUUCAAAAAAAGAACGAAGAAAGCAAAGGAGGGAAGAAUUGUUGAAAAGUAAGUCCUUUUAUUUUUAUUUUGUAAUAGGUCUGCAUGAGAGAGGAAGCAUAGCAUUAGGAACAGUUCUUUUAUUCAUUUAUACCCUCCUUACAAAUUUUACUUAUUGUGGAAUAACUUUCUACAUGAAAUGUUCACACAUUGUGUGUGUUCAAAUUAGAUCUGGAAAAGUAGCAAAAAUUUUCAUUAUAAUUACCAU